UGGGGAAUAUUGCACAAUGGGGGAAACCCUGAUGCAGCGACGCCGCGUGAACGAAGAAGGUCUUCGUAUCGUAAAGUUCUGUCCUAUGGGAAGAUAAUGACAGUACCAUAGAAGAAAGCUCCGGCUAAAUACGUGCCAGCAGCCGCGGUAAUACGUAUGGAGCGAGCGAUGUCCGGAAUUAUUGGGCGUAAAGGGUACGCAGGCGGUUUAAUAAGUCGAAUGUUAAAGUUCGGGGCUCAACCCCGUAAAGCAUUGGAAACUGAUAAACUUGAGUAGUGGAGAGGAAAGUGGAAUUCCUAGUGUAGUGGUGAAAUACGUAGAUAUUAGGAGGAAUACCAGUAGCGAAGGCGACUUUCUGGACACAAACUGACGCUGAGGUACGAAAGCGUGGGGAGCAAACAGG
This 403-nucleotide ribosomal RNA is filed under the name Verrucomicrobiota bacterium. Its description in RNAcentral is "Verrucomicrobia bacterium partial 16S ribosomal RNA". It matches the Rfam family "Bacterial small subunit ribosomal RNA", at positions 355 to 776 of the family's 1533-position model. Lineage: Bacteria; Pseudomonadati; Verrucomicrobiota. The record is from RNAcentral.